Salmo salar (Atlantic salmon) is the source of this 1494-nucleotide non-coding RNA. Lineage: Eukaryota; Metazoa; Chordata; Actinopteri; Salmoniformes; Salmonidae. The record is from RefSeq and is a predicted model, not a curated record.
GGUGUGAGACAGGUGUGGUGGUGGUGGGAGACAGGUGUGUUAGAUUAGACAGGUGUUGUAUGUAGUGGUAGUUUAGACAGGUGUGGUGGUGUUAGAUUAGACAGGUGUUGUAUGUAGUGGUAGUUUAGACAGGUGUGGUGGUGUUAGAUUAGACAGGUGUUGUAUGUAGUGGUAGUUUAGACAGGUGUGGUGGUGUUAGAUUAGACAGGUGUUGAAUGUAGUGGUAGUUUAGACAGGUGUGGUGGUGUUAGAUUAGACAGGUGUUGUAUGUAGUGGUAGUUUAGACAGGUGUGGUGGUGUUAGAUUAGACAGGUGUUGAAUGUAGUGGUAGUUUAGACAGGUGUGGUGGUGGUGGGAGACUGGUGUUGAAUGUAGUGGUAGUUUAGACAGGUGUGGUGGUGGUAGAUUAGACAGGUGUUGAAUGUAGUGGUAGUUUAGACAGGUGUGGUGGUGGUAGAUUAGACAGGUGUUGAAUGUAGUGGUAGUUUAGACAGGUGUGGUGGUGGUGGGAGACAGGUGUUGAAUGUAGUGGUAGUUUAGACAGGUGUGGUGGUGUUAGAUUAGACAGGUGUUGUAUGUAGUGGUAGUUUAGACAGGUGUGGUGGUGUUAGAUUAGACAGGUGUUGAAUGUAGUGGUAGUUUAGACAGGUGUGGUGGUGUUAGAUUAGACAGGUGUUGAAUGUAGUGGUAGUUUAGACAGGUGUGGUGGUGUUAGAUUAGACAGGUGUUGUAUGUAGUGGUAGUUUAGACAGGUGUGGUGGUGUUAGAUUAGACAGGUGUUGAAUGUAGUGGUAGUUUAGACAGGUGUGGUGGUGUUAGAUUAGACAGGUGUUGAAUGUAGUGGUAGUUUAGACAGGUGUGGUGGUGUUAGAUUAGACAGGUGUUGUAUGUAGUGGUAGUUUAGACAGGUGUGGUGGUGUUAGAUUAGACAGGUGUUGAAUGUAGUGGUAGUUUAGACAGGUGUGGUGGUGUUAGAUUAGACAGGUGUUGAAUGUAGUGGUAGUUUAGACAGGUGUGGUGGUGUUAGAUUAGACAGGUGUUGUAUGUAGUGGUAGUUUAGACAGGUGUGGUGGUGUUAGAUUAGACAGGUGUUGAAUGUAGUGGUAGUUUAGACAGGUGUGGUGGUGGUGGGAGACAGGUGUUGUAUGUAGUGGUAGUUUAGACAGGUGUGGUGGUGUUAGAUUAGACAGGUGUUGAAUGUAGUGGUAGUUUAGACAGGUGUGCUGUCCAGGUGACUGUUGUCAGGCACAGGUGACAGGUAGCUAUGUGAGAACACAUCUCGGCUCCUUACUUUUAUACCUGCAACACUGUGGGAUAAAAAUAGACAUCAGGUCACUCUCCUGCUUCAGACAUGUGAGAGGACACUUCACUUGAAAGGCAUUUGAGUUUCUUCCUUGUUUUAGUUUCUUGACUUUUCCACCCUGCUGCUCGUAAACCAUGGUGCCAUUCUGAAAUGUUUGUGUGUGUGGUGUCUGUGUGUGUGUGUGUGUGUGU